UACGGAGGAUGCGAGCGUUAUCCGGAUUUAUUGGGUUUAAAGGGUGCGUAGGCGGAUUUUUAAGUCAGCGGUAAAAUGUCCGGGCUCAACCCGAGCCGGCCGUUGAAACUGGGGAUCUUGAGUGGGCGAGAAGUAUGCGGAAUGCGUGGUGUAGCGGUGAAAUGCAUAGAUAUCACGCAGAACUCCGAUUGCGAAGGCAGCAUACCGGCGCCCGACUGACGCUGAGGCACGAAAGCGUGGGGAUCGAACAGG
Molecule: ribosomal RNA, 252 nt
Filed under: uncultured bacterium
Lineage: Bacteria
Description: partial 16S ribosomal RNA
Rfam family: Bacterial small subunit ribosomal RNA
Source: RNAcentral